This is an RNA transcript of Suricata suricatta (meerkat), 1624 nucleotides long. It is a transcript of the gene named katanin regulatory subunit B1 like 1, with no coding region annotated. The transcript has 12 exons. Lineage: Eukaryota; Metazoa; Chordata; Mammalia; Carnivora; Herpestidae. The record is from RefSeq and is a predicted model, not a curated record.
GCUAUCCCGGCGGGCCGCGCGCGCGGCCGCGUUUGAAUGGCUCAUAGUGGGGCUCGGCCCGGGAGCCGAGGGACGUUCUAGGCUGCCGGGCGCAGCCCGUCAGCUCCGGGGCAGGGCUGAGGUGCCGCGGUACCAUGAGGCGCCGGUAUUUAAGAGAUUAUGGCAUCUGAAGCCCACAAUGUUAAAAAACGAACCUUUUGUAAUAAUAUUGAGGAUCAUUCCACUGAUCUUCCUAGAAAAAGGAUCUCUAAUUUUACUAACAAGAACAUGAAGGAGGUUAAGAAAUCUCCAAAACAGUUGGCUGCUUACAUAAAUAGAACAGUUGGACAAGCUGUGAAAAGUCCAGAUAAACUACGUAAGGUGAUCUAUCGCAGAAAGAAAGUGCACCAUCCUUUUCCAAAUCCUUGUUACAGAAAAAAACAGUCCCCUAGAAGUGGGGGCUGUGACAUGGCCAAUAAAGAAAAUGAACUGGCUUGUGCGGGCCACCUGCCUGAAAAAUUACGCCCUGAUAGUCGGACAUACUUACUUAACUCCAGGGAAUCUGGUUCUUCACAGACAGAAAGCCCUUCAUCAAAAUACAGUGGGUUUUUUUCUGAGGUUUCUCAGGACCAUGAAACAAUGGCACAGGUUUUGUUCAGCAGGAAUUUGAGACUAAAUGUAGCUUUAACGUUCUGGAGAAAGAGAAGUAUAAGUGAACUUGUAGCUUAUUUGGUGAGGAUAGAAGACCUUGGAGUUGUUGUGGAUUGUCUUCCUGUACUCACCAAUAGUUUACAGGAGGAAAAACAAUACAUCUCACUCGGCUGCUGUGUAGAUUUGUUGCCUCUUGUCAAGUCCCUACUUAAAAGCAAAUUUGAAGAGUAUAUAAUAGUUGGUUUAAACUGGCUUCAAGCAGUCAUAAAAAGGUGGUGGUCAGAACUAUCAUCCAAAACAGAAAUUAUAAAUGAUGGAAAUAUUCAGAUUUUAAAGCAACAGUUAAGUGGAUUAUGGGAACAGGAAAAUCAUCUUACUUUGGUUCCAGGAUAUACUGGUAACAUAGCCAAGAAUUCAGAAGGAAGCUGCUCCUUAGCACAUGCUGAGUCAGAAGUAGUGUGAAAGAGGGGGAAAGAACCCUGGACGACAAUCAGGGAAUCCUGAGUUUUAAACUCCUCCAAACAAGCUCAGAGAGAUUAUUGGGCAAGACAACUGACUCUGGCAAUGAUGUUGAAGAGUAAUUGCAGGGGGCUCAACGGAAGCAGGAAGCUCAGAAGACCCAGCAAUAACUCAGGCAGGACAUUAAGGCAAGUUAGAUGCCUCUUGGACUCCCUCUGAGAAUGGUGGAGGAUGCAUCCCAUUUGAGACGAAAUUAUAGGCAACUUCAGAAUGCCAGAACUGGAGUCCCGGUGGAUGAUAGACAUUUUUAAAUAUUAAGGAAAUUGGCUCCCAUUUGCUUGAGUGAACAACAUUAGCUAAUCUACUUGAAGUACAUGAAGUUUGAGAACUCAAAGGACAAAAAUCACUUAAAGUAAAAUAGGGUCUUUAGGGAUCAGCACAGCUGAUGUUUUCCAAGCAUUCCUGCUAUUAUUAUUCUAUUGUUUAAAAAACAAACCCUUUGAAAAUAAAUAAAUACCCAUUGGCUUAAAUAUAA